Molecule: RNA transcript, 4557 nt
Organism: Nyctereutes procyonoides (raccoon dog)
Lineage: Eukaryota; Metazoa; Chordata; Mammalia; Carnivora; Canidae
Gene: SLC35D4
Gene name: transmembrane protein 241
Exons: 16
Source: RefSeq, a predicted model, not a curated record
GCCCGGCUCCGGACGCAGUCUGGGUGCUCCCCGCGGGGUCCCCGGGAAGGGGCGCGGGUUGACCCAUGUGCGUGAGGAGGUGCCUGGUGGGCCUCACCUUUUGUACCUGCUACCUGGCUUCUUACCUCACGAACAAGUAUGUCCUGUCUGUCUUGAAAUUUACCUACCCUACAUUGUUCCAAGGGUGGCAGACACUAAUUGGUGGACUUCUGCUUCACGUGUCAUGGAAGCUAGGCUGGGCCGAGAUCAACAGCACUUCAAGAUCUGAUGUUUCAACGUGGCUUCCUGCUUCGGUGCUGUUUGUGGGUAUAAUCUAUGCUGGUUCCAGAGCAUUAUCCAAACUGGCCAUUCCUGUGUUUCUCACUUUGCAUAAUGUAGCUGAAGUUAUCAUCUGUGGGCACCAGAAGUGUUUUCGGAAAGAGAAAACUUCUCCUGAAAAGAUCUGUAGCACCCUCUUCCUUCUGGCUGCCGCAGGAUGCCUUCCCUUCAAUGACCCCCAGCAGGUGCGGGCAACCCCUUACGCAGGAUGUCCUGUGCCAGUAACACCCACUGUUUCAUUUUCAGGGGUUUAUAAGAUAGUGCAGAAGUCCCGGAAACCCAACGCCUUAAGCGACAUUGAGCAGCAGUACUUAAACUAUAUGUUCAGCGUGGUGCUCCUGGCAGUCGCAUCCCAUCCCACAGGUGAUCUCUUCAGUGUCCUGGACUUUCCAUUCCUGUAUUUCUACAGAUUCCAUGGCAGCUGCUGUGCCAGUGGAUUGUUAGGAUUCUUUCUCAUGCUCAGCACAGUGAAGCUGAAAAACCUUGUGGCCCCAGGGCAGUAUGCAGCCUGGAUUUUCUUUGCUAAGAGGGGAAAACUUAAAUCCAGAGAGGGGAACUGGCCUGAGGCCCCCUCAAUGAGUCUAAGACACCCAGGACUACCUGACUGCUGGCCUUACAAAUCCAGCUGUCAUCACAGCUGUUUUGUCAGUAUUGCUGUUUGAUAUGAUCCUGACCAAUGCAACGGUGGGAUGCCUCCUGCUCGGUGGACUUGGAGAGGCCUUGCUGGUUUUCUCAGAGCAGAAGAGCUCCUGAAGGCAGGAAGAGUAGACUCCCAGGCUGCCAGCUGGAGUGAGCAGCCCCUGAGCCUUGGAACUCCCUGUCGCAUGUGUCAGGAGGAAGAAAGCAGGGACACUGAGGCCCCCACUUCUCAGGGCAUCAAGGAGAGCACUCUCCGGGGGUCUCCGGGCUGCUGCAGAGAAUGCACUGGGUUGUGUCUUCCUGUUUCAAGAGGCUCACUCGAGCCCUGCUGACCACGCCAUGUAAACCCAGAAGCAGGGUAUUGAAUACCUGAUUGUCCCGCCGAGUGUCGGUGGUGGUCAUGUCGAGAUGUAGGAGGUAGUGAAGCUGCAGCCACUGCUCCCGAGGCAGGAAGCCAGCCUUCGGUGUUGGACGUCCGCGUCAUGGAUGGAGAACCGUCUUUAGCAUCUGGGAACUCAGCCUGUCCAUUCUCAGCUCUGGGAAGAGUAAAGUUAGCUCAGUCAGGGGCCAUUCUUUCUGCACAUUCUCUCCAAUUUAUUGAAAAAAUAAACAGAAAAUGAAACAAAUGGGAAUGGAUUAGUAGAUUUGGAACUCGAGUACCUUCAGUCCAUUUCCUGGUCUUUUCCUGGUCUCUGUGUGUCAUUUAAGGUAAAGAUGUUCAGAGUGACCUCUAUGCAGAUGGAGUUUCAGUUUGCUUUUUGUUCUUCAUCAGAGGUGUUAAACUUUAUAGAGGCUGAGGAUCAAAUAGAAAAAUGGGUUUAGAAUUGCCCUUGUUCUUCUGCUCCCACAAAACCCUCUUUGUAAAACUCAGUUCUUCAUCUUUUGUGGCAAGUGGCAUCUGACCAAAUGUCAUCUUAAGCCUGUCUUUCCAGGUGCCGUCCAGGCAAACGGAGAUUCCUAAGUCUGGAAAGAAUCAUGCACAGUUAAUGGGCCCGUCUCCUGUUUCCAGGAGAUCUGUUCUUCUUUUUUUUUUUUCUUUAAGAUUUUUUUUAAUUUUUAUUUUAUUAUUAUUAUUUUUUAUUUAUUUGAGAGAAAGCGUGAAAGCCAGAGCACAAGCAGUGGGAAGCGGUGUGGGAAGAGGGAGAAGCAGACUCCCCACUGAGCAGGGAGCCCACUCAGGACUGGAUCCCAGGACCCUGAGAUCAUGACCUGAGCUGAAGGCAGACAUUUAACUGACUGAGCCAGCCAGGUGCCCCAGGAAGACCUCUUAAAAAAAAUCUCUACCAAGGAUUUUAAAAUUUUUUUCGUUUGAUUAUUUUUUUAAUGGCAUUCCAGGGUCCCAUUGUUUUUAUUUUUCAUUUUUUUAUUUUAAUUUUUUAAGUUUGAGUAGAGUUGACACAUGUUAUAUUGAUUUCAGGUGUACAACUUAGUGAUUCAACAAGUUUAUACCUUAUGCUCUGCUCACCACAAGAGUACCACCUGUCCUCAUACAUCACUAUUAUAAUAUUGACUGUAUUCCUUACACUGCACUUCUUACUCCCAUGCCUUACUCAUUCCAUAACUGGAAGCCUGUAGCUCCCUCUUCCCUUUGCCUGUUUUGCCCAUCUCUGUACCCCCUCAGGCAAUCAUCAGUUUGUACUCUGUAGUUCUGAUUCCACUCUUUGUUUAUUCAUUCUUUAAGAGUCUGUUUGUAAGUGGAGUCAUAUGGUAUUUAUCUUUCUCUGUCUGGCUUCUCUUAGCAUAAGAUCCAUCCAUGUUGUCUCAUGUGGCAUGACCACAUCCUUUUUUAUGGCUGUAUAAUAUUCCAUUGCAUGUAUAUGUGCACAUAUAUAUCAUAGUAUUUCUAUAUAUAUGUGCAAUGGAAUAUUAUACAGCCAUAAUAUAUAUAUAAUAUUCCAUUGCACAUAUAUAUAUAUCACAUUUUCUUUACCAGAAGUAAUCUAUCAGUAGACACUUAGACUACUUCCAUAUCUUGGCUAUUGUAAAUAAUGCUGCAAUAAAUAUAGAGGUGUGUAUGUCUUUUUCAUAUUUUACUGUUUUCAUUUUCCCUGGGUGGAUACCCAGGGGUGGAAUUACUGGAUCAUAUAGUAUUUCUAUUUUUAAUUUGGUGAGACACCUCCACACUGUUUUCCGCAGUGGCUGCACCAGCUUGCGUUCACCGCAACAGUGCAUGAGGGCUCCCUUUUCUCCACAUCCUCACAACACUUGCUGUUUCUUCUCUUGACUUUAGCCAUUCUAACAGGUGUGAGGUAAUAGCUCAUUGUGGUUUUGAUUUGCAUUUCCCUGAGGAUGAGUGAUAUUGAGCAUCUUUUCACGCGUCUGUCAGCCAUCUAGUUGUCUUCUUUGGAGUAAUGUCUGUUUGGGUCCUCUGCCCAUUGUUUGAUUAGAUUUUUUUUUUUUGUAUAAGCUCUUUAUAUAUUUUGGAUAUUACCUCCUAUUGGAUAUAUCAUUUGCAAAUAUCUUCUCCCAUUCAGUAGGUUGUCUUUUUGUUUUAUUGAUGUUUUCCUUUGCUGUGCAGAGGUUUUUAUUUUGAUGUCAUCCCACUAGUUUGUUUUUGAUCCCCUUGCCUCAGGAGACAGAUCUAGAAAGAUGUUGCCACAGCUGAUGUCAGAAUGAGUACUGCCGGUGCUCUCUUCUAGGAUUUUUAUGGUUUCAUGUCUCACAUUUAGGUCUUUAAUCUGCUUUGAGUUUAUUUUUGUGUAUGGUGUAAGGAAGUGGUCUAGUUUCAUUGUUUUAAAAUCUCACAUCUUUUCUUACUUUGACAUUAGCAGGAGGCAGAGGAUUAAGGUGUUUCUUCAUUAUACCACUCUGUUUCCUUCAACCUCCAUCUCUUCUAGGGCUUUUUUCUCCACCCCCACCCCGAAACCUUAACUUCUAUGUUUUAUGCCCAAAUUUACAUGCUCAGCUCUGAAUGCAGGUGAGCCCAGAGGUCUGUAGAGCCAGGGGCUGGCCCAGAUUAGUGCAACCUCAGUUGUCAUUAUCUGUGGCUCCCUGGGCCCCUCUCUGGGUGGGAAUCUCCAGGCAACCCCAGCACUCCCUUCUGUGGAAGAUGAUCCAUUUCACCGUGUCCUGUCUGGGUCCUGAUGGUCCCUGACCUUGCUGGCUCCAAGUCAAAGCCAUGGUGCUUGUUUUUUUUUUUUUUUUUUUCAUUUGUACAAAUAAAGAGUAUGCUUUCCAUUAGGAGAGGCAAGGUUCUGUAUGAUUAUGUAUUGUUCCUAAUUUGCUAUGGAUAUAAAGAAAAAUAAACCAUUUGUUUUCAUGGUAAUUUGCCUUUCUUUUUCUUCUCUUCAAACUCAGCUGGAGAGUAUUGUAAAAAUAGUUAUUAUCCUUGGGGAUGGGGGCUGUGAGGGGAGGGCUCUUGCAUCUUCAAGACAGGCCAGACUUCUGCCAACAUCCAGGCUGCUUAGCUCUGAACAGGGAGGGCCACCCAGCUUAUUCUCCUGGACCUGUGCCAUCCUGUAGGCUGACCCAGCAUAGCCACAUGUGGCCAUUGAGCACCGAAAUGGUAUGUGUCCAAAUUCAGAUGUGCUGUAAAUAAGUGUAAGUAUAUGCUGAUUUCAAAGAUUUCAUAUUAAAAAAAGGAUGUAAAAUAUUUUGUAA